RNAcentral lists this ribosomal RNA (254 nucleotides) under uncultured bacterium. RNAcentral's name for it is "partial 16S ribosomal RNA". It matches the Rfam family "Bacterial small subunit ribosomal RNA", at positions 524 to 776 of the family's 1533-position model. The record is from RNAcentral.
UACGUAGGGGGCAAGCGUUGUCCGGAUUUAUUGGGCGUAAAGAGCUCGUAGGUGGUUCGGUAAGUCGGAUGUGAAAUCUCCAGGCUCAACCUGGAGGGUCAUUCGAUACUGCCGUGACUAGAGUUCGGUAGGGGAGUGUGGAAUUCCUGGUGGAGCGGGUGAAAUGCGCAGAUAUCAGGAGGAACACCGGUGGCGAAGGCGGGUCUCUGGGUAGUAACUGACGCUGAGGAACGAAAGCGUGGGUAGCGAACAGG